This 853-nucleotide long non-coding RNA is filed under the name Panicum hallii. RNAcentral describes it as "long non-coding RNA (PHAL_LNC000309)". The record is from RNAcentral. Lineage: Eukaryota; Viridiplantae; Streptophyta; Magnoliopsida; Poales; Poaceae.
CAGAUUAUUGAUACCACUAUCUUUGUCCCGGCAUUGCCGGUAAGCUGUCGUGUGUGCUGGGCAGUGGACACACAGCUGAACACGGAAACGACGGGAACGCUUAUGUAUGAUAUGUGCUGGACAGGGGACAGGGGACAGUGAUCAACGUACACGUCACCGUCACGUCACGUACGUAAGGAUUCUGUACAUAUACGUAUUACAUGAGGUGUCAAUUAAGGAGGUUGCUGAUGAGGGCAGCUAUACAUUGUGGUGUGAGUGUGACUUGGGAGCGAGCCAGCCAGCCAUAGGGAAAGCGUGUCAGCAUCCUGAUAUGAUCUGACUAUAAAUUGGGAUAGUGAUUUAUCGUCAGAUCAUAUCAGCAUCCAGCAGUGAACACAAAGUAAGCAAAGGAAAGAUGGAGAUAGACGAGAAAUCUAGGGUUCUGAUCUACUAUGAGAUAAGCAAAGAGAGAAGAAGGAAAUAGCACCAGCAAUGCUCGACUUCCUUUCUUCCGUUGCUGCCGCCGAGUGAGUUUUUCUACAGAACAGCAGUGGUCUUUGACCGUUGUACGUCAACAACCACGUAACAACGGGAAUGAUAAAUCAACGAAGUAGAUCAACAUUUAUUCCUCUCUGUCGCCUUUUGGUGCCCAUUUCUUCAGACAUGGUGCUUGUCUUCUUCCGAGCCUGACAAGGCGUUUCCAAUAAUCUUUUUCUUACUUUGUGUUCAUUGCUGGAUGCAAAAUUUAUGUUAUUGAUGAUGCAUGCUUGAGUUGUUAAAACAACAUUGUAUAUUUUUUCGUUAAACUUGUCAUCUCACUAAGAUUCAUACUUAUCAGAUAUAUAUGUGCUGCAAUUUUUAUAAUAGUUCUUGU